ACAGUAUCUGUGACUCUGUUAAUGUUUUUCGAAUAAUUUCUUGUUAAACAAGGCAUACAUUUCGGAAAGUUAUUACUAAACUUGAGAGUGAAAAUCUAUUUUAAGGACGGUGGGGCAUUUAUCGUCCUGAUUACCCAAUUAGCAAGCAAUGUAGGCUACGUUGCUUGCAAGCCGACCCCACAGCUCAGGCAGUGCUUUCCUUGACAGCAGCACUCUUUGAGUCCCUGCUGACUUCUCACUCAGGGCUAGCAGAACUGUGGCUGUGGUGAGCGCCCCCAAGUUAAAGACUGGCCAGUCACUCAUUCUGCAGAAGAUGUCAAAGCUGAUGCUAAAUGGCUGUCUUUGAAAGAACGGGAAGAACAAAGGAGACCGGCGUCUGGUAUUGGUCACUCUGGAAACAGCAGACCCAGGAAGAGGCGCUGGGCUCGCCUUGAGACAGAUAAGAUCAUCCCUCACAGACAAGGCACUGUAAUGAAACCGUGAGAUGCAGCUGCCGUACUUUGCUCUGUUAUGCAAUAUGACAUCAUACGCAGUGUCCAGCAGCCAGACCAUUAAGAAAAUGAAGGCAGCUUCCAUCUCAACAUGUCCUUUCCCUGUCAGAAAAUGAGGUCUCAUCAGGAAAUCAUCUACAUGGAACCUCUACCCAGGCAUGCCUCAUCAGCCUGCAGCACUUCUACCUAACUGGCUUUGGGGGACUAUCCCUGCCAUUUCUUGCAUAUCUAUUUAAAGAGGCAGGUAAUUUACGAUCGUCGGUUGCUUGCAAGUGGAAUGUCUGAAUUCAGAAAUGCAUACAAAAUGCAUCGCUGUGACUUCUGCCCACUGCUCAGCUCUGCUUUUUCUCUGAAAGAGCAUUCCCCUUCAUUGUUUCUUCCAGACAGUGAUUGAUGUUUUUCGUCUGUAAAUGCCAGUCUAUUGUUGUUGCUUUUUUGUGCCUGUACGGAUUCAUUGUAUGUAAAUGGUAAAAAAUAAAUUGACUCCAGUAUGCUGUAUGCCAGGCAGGUAGUG
Anguilla anguilla (European eel) is the source of this 1005-nucleotide long non-coding RNA. RefSeq lists it as uncharacterized. The record is from RefSeq and is a predicted model, not a curated record. Lineage: Eukaryota; Metazoa; Chordata; Actinopteri; Anguilliformes; Anguillidae. The transcript is spliced from 5 exons.